Molecule: ribosomal RNA, 455 nt
Filed under: uncultured bacterium
Lineage: Bacteria
Description: bacterial SSU rRNA
Rfam family: Bacterial small subunit ribosomal RNA
Source: RNAcentral
UACGGGAGGCAGCAGUGGGGAAUAUUGCACAAUGGGCGCAAGCCUGAUGCAGCCAUGCCGCGUGUAUGAAGAAGGCCUUCGGGUUGUAAAGUACUUUCAGUCGUGAGGAAGGUGUUAAGGUUAAUAACCUUAGCAAUUGACGUUAGCGACAGAAGAAGCACCGGCUAACUCCGUGCCAGCAGCCGCGGUAAUACGGAGGGUGCGAGCGUUAAUCGGAAUUACUGGGCGUAAAGGGCACGCAGGCGGUUAAUUAAGUUGGAUGUGAAAUCCCCCGGGCUUAACCUGGGAAUGGCAUUCAAGACUGGUUAGCUAGAGUCUUGUAGAGGGGGUUAGAAUUCCAUGUGUAGCGGUGAAAUGCGUAGAGAUGUGGAGGAAUACCGGUGGCGAAGGCGGCCCCUGGACAAAGACUGACGCUCAUGUGCGAAAGCGUGGGGAGCAAACAGGGAUUAGAUACC